CGGAGGGUGCAAGCGUUAUCCGGAUUCACUGGGUUUAAAGGGGUGCGUAGGUGGGCAGGUAAGUCAGUGGUGAAAUCUUUGGGCUUAACCCGAAAACUGCCAUUGAUACUAUUUGUCUUGAAUAUUGUGGAGGUCAGCGGAAUAUGUCAUGUAGCGGUGAAAUGCUUAGAUAUGACAUAGAACACCAAUUGCGAAGGCAGCUGGCUACACAUAUAUUGACACUGAUGCACGAAAGCGUGGGGGAUCAAACAGGAUUAGAUACCCUGGUAGUCCACGCCCUAAACGAUGGAUACUCGACAUACGCGAUAUACUGUGUGUGUCUGAGCGAAAGCAUUAAGUAUCCCACCUGGGAAGUACGAUCGCAAGAUUG
This 370-nucleotide ribosomal RNA is filed under the name uncultured organism. Its description in RNAcentral is "bacterial SSU rRNA". It matches the Rfam family "Bacterial small subunit ribosomal RNA", at positions 526 to 896 of the family's 1533-position model. The record is from RNAcentral.